This 28-nucleotide non-coding RNA is filed under the name Mus musculus (house mouse). Lineage: Eukaryota; Metazoa; Chordata; Mammalia; Rodentia; Muridae. The record is from RNAcentral.
UUCAAAAGUGUAAAUUUUCUUUCACCCU